Molecule: non-coding RNA, 544 nt
Organism: Trachemys scripta elegans
Lineage: Eukaryota; Metazoa; Chordata; Testudines; Emydidae
Source: the annotation of a RefSeq genome assembly
AGGAAGGUUUACUGCUUUGCAGCCCACCAGGUUGUUGUGGAGAAUGAAAAUGAUCUGUCUGGGGGUCUUGUUCUUUUUGGCAGCUUUCUCAGGUGUCAGCUCCCAGAUCCAGCUGACCCAGUCCGGGGCAGAAAUCAAGAAGCCUGGAGAGUCUGUGAAGGUGACGUGUAAAACCUCCGGCUACACCUUUACCAGCUAUUACAUUAGCUGGGUACGGCAGGCUCCCGGGAAAGCACUGGAGUGGAUCGGAUAUAUCUAUCCCGGUAGUGGUGACACUAGCUAUGCCCAGGCCUUCCAGGGGCGCUUCACCAUCACCAGGGACACCUCCAUAAGCACAGCCUAUCUACAGCUGGGCAGCCUGAGAACCGAUGACACUGCCACGUAUUACUGUGCUAGGCACACAGUGACACAAACCACAUCUACAGCCAUUCAAAAACCCUCCAUGAGAGAAUCCAAGUCUCCUGCUAACACUGCAGCCCUCAGCCACCCUGGGAACGGUUACCCCUGUGAACAGACUCUGGGGAAUUUUCCCCAAGUGACUUAG